Molecule: small nuclear RNA, 107 nt
Organism: Monodelphis domestica (gray short-tailed opossum)
Lineage: Eukaryota; Metazoa; Chordata; Mammalia; Didelphimorphia; Didelphidae
Source: Ensembl
GUGCUCACUUCAGCAGCACGUAUACUAAAAUUGGAAUGAUACAGAGAAGAUUAGCAGGGCCCCUGCACAAGGAUGACAAGCAAAUUUGGGAAGCAUUCCAUAUUUUU